UCUUCAUUGUAGCAUAUCUUAGAAUAUAGAAAUAGGCUAUCUUAAACCUACUUGUGUGUCUUCUAGUACAUUGAUUUUCUACUUUGUGAAACAGGUACGCUUACCAAAUGUCUGCAUAAAAAAUGUUUGCUUUGAAAAGCUUCCUGAUAUAGCAUGGAUAGAAGUGCAUGCAGUAUGAACUACACGAAUGAACUACACAUGGGAAAAAGUAUUAUGGUAUGCAAUUUUACAAUUGUCUAAGAUCUAACUUCGUGCAAGUAUUACUAGUAAAAAAACAGCGCACUUUCAUUUGCGGUGCAAAUCAAAAUAAAAGCCCCUAGCACUUCUUCCAAUUACAAACGGAAGAGUCAUUGCUGAGAAUUUGAAGGGUUUUGAGCAAGCCGUUCGUGUCACGUUUUAAAAAUCUAAACAUAAUCGUGUAGCAAACUAGCAACUGCUCCAAUUAGUAGGCUACUAAAAAAUUAUUCAAUACCAUACCGUAUAGCCUAAUUUUUAUUCGAAUAAUUGCUUGGGAAAUUUAAUCUAAGCUUUCAGAAUUUAGAAUAUUAGUUUAAAAAAUAAAAGUAAGAUUUUCAAACCUUGACUGUUAAUUAACACUGUUUAUUUUUCGGUUAUGUAAAAUAAUUUAAUUGAUUAUGUGUAAGUAUUUGGUUAGUUUUCCUUUGCUCUUGAUCAUGUGCCACUACUCAAUACGAUGGACACAGUUUUAGUUGAUGCGUUUUUUUAAAGGUGGAAAGCUCCGACAACGCAACCGCACGAUCCGGGCAACUUGAAUUUUUCAAUGGCGAAAGGGAAAGCGUAGUCGUACGG
Long non-coding RNA from Daphnia pulicaria, 810 nucleotides. RefSeq lists it as uncharacterized. The record is from RefSeq and is a predicted model, not a curated record. Lineage: Eukaryota; Metazoa; Arthropoda; Branchiopoda; Diplostraca; Daphniidae. The transcript has 2 exons.